Non-coding RNA from Arachis ipaensis, 594 nucleotides. The record is from RefSeq and is a predicted model, not a curated record. Lineage: Eukaryota; Viridiplantae; Streptophyta; Magnoliopsida; Fabales; Fabaceae.
GUAGAAGGAAAUUGACUUUGUAAUCAUGAGAGAUGGUCUCCGUGUGACAAAAAUAGCCUGGCUUGAGUUGGCACCUGCUUCGGGUUUGUAUAGUCCUACAUGGCAAUCCGAACCUACCAAAGCCCAAUCCACGUGGAUCUGAACGUUGUAUACGUAGGUAAUGGUUGAAAUGAAAACCCUAGCAAGCUCUCUUUCCUAAUUCGAAACAUAACCCCAAAUCUGAAAUUUUGUUGCAAUUCGAACCAUAACCCAGAGUGAUCUCAGAACCCCAGCGAUGUCAUCACGCAGAUUUAACUCGGAUGGAAAUUUUGGAACUCGCAGCAGUUCUUCAAGUUCGAAGAAGAUGAAGGAGAAGAAGCUCGACGGCAAAUGUUUCUGUGGGAGAGAUGUUGUGUUGAUGGAGUCUGGAACGAUUACGAACCCUAACAGAUGGUUCAUCAGAUGUCCUCUAUGGGCGACAAGAGAUUGCAGAUAAUUUGUUUGGGUGGAUGAACUCGAACAAGGAUGGGAGGGCGUGGCAAGAUGUUUAGCAAAGAGGAAGUUCGAGCAUUGUUAUGCAACACCUGAUGAUGGAUUGACUCUGAGUUCAGGGGG